AGUGAGCGCUGGCGGUAGGCCUAACACAUGCAAGUCGAACGGCAGCACAGUAAGAGCUUUCUCUUACGGUUGGCGAGGGGCGGACGGGUGAGGAAUACAUCGGAAUCUACUUUUUCUGGGGGGAUAACGUAGGGAAACUUACGCUAAUAGCUCAUACGAUCUACGGGUGAAAUCAGUGGAUCUUCGGACCUUGCGCGAUUGAAUGAGCCGAUGUCGGAUUAGCUAGUUGGCGGGGUAAAGGCCCACCAAGGCGACGAUCCGUAGCUGGCCUGAGAGGAUGAUCAGCCACACUGGAACUGAGACACGGUCCAGACUCCUACGGGAGGCAGCAGUAGGGAAUAUUGGACAAUGGGCGCAAGCCUGAUCCAGCCAUGCCGCGUGGGUGAAGAAGGUCUUCGGGUUGUAAAGCCCUUUUGUUGGGAAAGAAAAGCAGUAGGUUAAUACCCCGCUGUUCUGACGGUACCCAAAGAAUAAGCACCGGCUAACUUCGUG
Molecule: ribosomal RNA, 492 nt
Filed under: uncultured bacterium
Lineage: Bacteria
Description: partial 16S ribosomal RNA
Rfam family: Bacterial small subunit ribosomal RNA
Source: RNAcentral